AUAUUGGAAGCUUGCUUCCGAUAGGCGUCGACCGGCGCACGGGGUGAGUAACGCGUAUCCAACCUGCCCAUCACUUGGGGGAUAACCUUGCGAAAGUAAGACUAAUACCCAAUGAUAUCUCUAGAAGACGAUCUGAAAGAGAUUAAAGAUUUAUCGGUGAUGGAUGGGGAUGCGUCUGAUUAGCUUGUUGGCGGGGUAACGGCCCACCAAGGCAACGAUCAGUAGGGGUUCUGAGAGGAAGGUCCCCACAUUGGAACUGGAGACACGGUCCAAACUCC
RNAcentral lists this ribosomal RNA (278 nucleotides) under uncultured Prevotella sp. Its description in RNAcentral is "partial 16S ribosomal RNA". It matches the Rfam family "Bacterial small subunit ribosomal RNA", at positions 70 to 339 of the family's 1533-position model. The record is from RNAcentral. Lineage: Bacteria; Pseudomonadati; Bacteroidota; Bacteroidia; Bacteroidales; Prevotellaceae.